GAUGAACGCUGGCGGCGUGCCUAAUACAUGCAAGUCGAGCGAACGGACGAGAAGCUUGCUUCUCUGAUGUUAGCGGCGGACGGGUGAGUAACACGUGGAUAACCUACCUAUAAGACUGGGAUAACUUCGGGAAACCGGAGCUAAUACCGGAUAAUAUUUUGAACCGCAUGGUUCAAAAGUGAAAGACGGUCUUGCUGUCACUUAUAGAUGGAUCCGCGCUGCAUUAGCUAGUUGGUAAGGUAACGGCUUACCUAGGCAACGAUGCAUAGCCGACCUGAGAGGGUGAUCGGCCACACUGGAACUGAGACACGGUCCAGACUCCUACGGGAGGCAGCAGUAGGGAAUCUUCCGCAAUGGGCGAAAGCCUGACGGAGCAACGCCGCGUGAGUGAUGAAGGUCUUCGGAUCGUAAAACUCUGUUAUUAGGGAAGAACAUAUGUGUAAGUAACUGUGCACAUCUUGACGGUACCUAAUCAGAAAGCCACGGCUAACUACGUGCCAGCAGCCGCGGUAAUACGUAGGUGGCAAGCGUUAUCCGGAAUUAUUGGGCGUAAAGCGCGCGUAGGCGGUUUUUUAAGUCUGAUGUGAAAGCCCACGGCUCAACCGUGGAGGGUCAUUGGAAACUGGAAAACUUGAGUGCAGAAGAGGAAAGUGGAAUUCCAUGUGUAGCGGUGAAAUGCGCAGAGAUAUGGAGGAACACCAGUGGCGAAGGCGACUUUCUGGUCUGUAACUGACGCUGAUGUGCGAAAGCGUGGGGAUCAAACAGGAUUAGAUACCCUGGUAGUCCACGCCGUAAACGAUGAGUGCUAAGUGUUAGGGGGUUUCCGCCCCUUAGUGCUGCAGCUAACGCAUUAAGCACUCCGCCUGGGGAGUACGACCGCAAGGUUGAAACUCAAAGGAAUUGACGGGGACCCGCACAAGCGGUGGAGCAUGUGGUUUAAUUCGAAGCAACGCGAAGAACCUUACCAAAUCUUGACAUCCUUUGACAACUCUAGAGAUAGAGCUUUCCCCUUCGGGGGACAAAGUGACAGGUGGUGCAUGGUUGUCGUCAGCUCGUGUCGUGAGAUGUUGGGUUAAGUCCCGCAACGAGCGCAACCCUUAAGCUUAGUUGCCAUCAUUAAGUUGGGCACUCUAAGUUGACUGCCGGUGACAAACCGGAGGAAGGUGGGGAUGACGUCAAAUCAUCAUGCCCCUUAUGAUUUGGGCUACACACGUGCUACAAUGGACAAUACAAAGGGCAGCGAAACCGCGAGGUCAAGCAAAUCCCAUAAAGUUGUUCUCAGUUCGGAUUGUAGUCUGCAACUCGACUACAUGAAGCUGGAAUCGCUAGUAAUCGUAGAUCAGCAUGCUACGGUGAAUACGUUCCCGGGUCU
This 1372-nucleotide ribosomal RNA is filed under the name uncultured bacterium. RNAcentral describes it as "bacterial SSU rRNA". It matches the Rfam family "Bacterial small subunit ribosomal RNA", at positions 28 to 1381 of the family's 1533-position model. The record is from RNAcentral.